GUGAACGCUGGCGGUAGGCCUAACACAUGCAAGUCGAACGGCAGCACCGUAAGAGCUUGCUCUUACGGGUGGCGAGUGGCGGACGGGUGAGGAAUACAUCGGAAUCUACUUUUUCGUGGGGGAUAACGUAGGGAAACUUACGCUAAUACCGCAUACGACCUACGGGUGAAAGCAGGGGAUCUUCGGACCUUGCGCGAUUGAAUGAGCCGAUGUCGGAUUAGCUAGUUGGCGGGGUAAAGGCCCACCAAGGCGACGAUCCGUAGCUGGUCUGAGAGGAUGAUCAGCCACACUGGAACUGAGACACGGUCCAGACUCCUACGGGAGGCAGCAGUGGGGAAUAUUGGACAAUGGGCGCAAGCCUGAUCCAGCCAUACCGCGUGGGUGAAGAAGGCCUUCGGGUUGUAAAGCCCUUUUGUUGGGAAAGAAAAGCAGCAGGUUAAUACCCCGCUGUUCUGACGGUACCCAAAGAAUAAGCACCGGCUAACUUCGUG
This 491-nucleotide ribosomal RNA is filed under the name uncultured bacterium. Its description in RNAcentral is "partial 16S ribosomal RNA". It matches the Rfam family "Bacterial small subunit ribosomal RNA", at positions 29 to 507 of the family's 1533-position model. The record is from RNAcentral.